Molecule: long non-coding RNA, 696 nt
Filed under: Homo sapiens (human)
Lineage: Eukaryota; Metazoa; Chordata; Mammalia; Primates; Hominidae
Description: PREDICTED lncRNA (TCONS_00142440)
Source: RNAcentral
CCACCUCCCGGGUUCAAGUGAUUCUCCCACCUCAGCCUCUCGAGUAGCCAGGAUUACAGAUGCACGCCACCACAUCAGGCUAAUUUUUGUAUUUUUAGUAGAGAUGGGGUUGGCCAUGUUGGCCAGUCUGAUCUCGAACCCCUGAGCUCAAGUGAUCCGCCCACCUUGGCCUCCCAAAGUGUUGGGAUUACAGGCGUGAGCCACCGUGCCUGGCCCUAUUUAAUUCCCUAUUUCUGUCUUUUUUGUUUGUUUGUUUCAUCUCUGUGGCUCUCUCAUGCUUACCUUUGCCUUCCCAUGCAUUUGUGCAUUCAUUCAUUCAACAUUUUCUGAGCAAAUCUCCCCUUUGCCUGGCCCUGCCCAAGCACUAUACAACAUCUGCUUAUCCUUCUCCUGCUGUGUCAGGUGGAGUCUCCUUCCCAGUGUAGCCAAUUCUGCAUUCUCUGUCUCACCAGUCUGGGUCCUUCUGGAACUCAUGCAAUCAUUCCACAGCAUUUACUAAGCACUCACCGUAAACCUAGCCCAUGCUACACACCUGUCUAUCCUUCAGCCCCUCUCUCUGCCUUUGGGCUCUGUGCACCUCAGGCAGUUAAUCCAUACGCAAGAAUUAACUCAGCAGCUACUAGAUGCUGCCAUAGAUCACACUUUUCCGUGGACUGAAUUCCCUCUAUUUCUCUCCCUGCUCUCUGUUUCUCCGAC